Molecule: long non-coding RNA, 790 nt
Filed under: Homo sapiens (human)
Lineage: Eukaryota; Metazoa; Chordata; Mammalia; Primates; Hominidae
Description: HSALNT0127605
Source: RNAcentral
CUCACCCAAUUACCUUUCCUAGUAUAUCUUCAUCUUGUUAAAGUGUAUGAGAACUGCUUUGGAGAGUCUAAUAAGUCCAAAUGAGCAUUAAAAAGGAGAGAGAGUAGGAGAAGUAUCUCUUGAGAAAGAUUAAAAAGCGAGCACAGGCUGAGUGCAGUGGGUCACGCCUGUAGUCUCAGCACUUUGGGAGGUCGAGGUAGGCAGAUUGCUGGAACUCAGGAGUUCGAGACCAGCCUGGACAACAUGGCAAAAUCCUGUUUCUACAAAAGGACUGUUUUCUAUUUGAUUGGGAAGUGUUAGAAUGGCAACAGUGACAAAUCCUGUGGCAAAUCUUCAUGCAAAGGUCUUUGGUGUUUCUUUAAUUUCAUAUAUAUUACCUACUAUGUGACAAGCACACUGUGCCAGGUUCCAAAUAUAAAAGAGUAAAUUAAGGAAUGCAUUAUAGCUGUUAAAGCAAUCUUAAGGGAAAUCCGAAGCUUCCACUGCAGCACCAUGCUUAGUAAAACCAACUGGAUAAUAUGUUGAUGAUAGCUCUACAGAUGGAUCCAGCCCUAGAUAAAUCUCUGCAUCUUAUUUUUUCCAACUCUGCUUUCCCUUGAUGAACAAUUUCCAACUAUCAUGUGACCCAAGAAUACAAUGAGGAGAAAUUUCAUCAAAAUCAAGGACGAGGAUGUCAGUUUCUGAUGAAAGAUGCAUGGCAAAGUAGCAUCCUAAAGGAGUCAUUUUUAUAUCUCUGUAAAGGAGGUAUCAUUCACAAUCAUGAAUUGAGUACCCUUUUGGCAUAACAUGA